AAGGGUUUGAUCCUGGCUCAGAACGUACGCUGGCGGCACGCCUAAUACAUGCAAGUCGAACGAAGUAGCAAUACUUAGUGGCAGACGGGUGAGUAACAUGUGGGUAUCUUCCCUUUGGUGAGGAAUAACACGAGGAAACUUGUGCUAAUACCUCAUAAGUCUUUACGGAGAAAGCUUUAUGCGCCAAUGGAUGAGCCCGCACUUGAUUAGUUUGUUGGUGGGGUAAUGGCCUACCAAGACAAUGAUCAAUAGCUGAUUUGAGAGGAUGAUCAGCCACAUUGGGACUGAGACACGGCCCAAACUCCUACGGGAGGCAGCAGUAGGGAAUCUUGCACAAUGGAGGAAACUCUGAUGCAGCGAUGCCGCGUGAGUGAAGAAGGCCUUUGGGUUGUAAAGCUCUUUCGUCGGGGAAGAAAAUGACUGUACCCGAAUAAGAAGGUCCGGCUAACUUCGUGCCAGCAGCCGCGGUAAUACGAAGGGACCUAGCGUAGUUCGGAAUUACUGGGCUUAAAGAGUUCGUAGGUGGUUAAAAAAGUUGAUGGUGAAAUCCCAGAGCUUAACUCUGGAACUGCCAUCAAAACUUUUUAGCUAGAGUAUGAUAGAGGAAAGCAGAAUUUCUAGUGUAGAGGUGAAAU
This 635-nucleotide ribosomal RNA is filed under the name uncultured bacterium. Its description in RNAcentral is "bacterial SSU rRNA". It matches the Rfam family "Bacterial small subunit ribosomal RNA", at positions 1 to 687 of the family's 1533-position model. The record is from RNAcentral.